Molecule: transfer RNA, 95 nt
Filed under: Clostridia bacterium
Lineage: Bacteria; Bacillati; Bacillota; Clostridia
Description: tRNA-OTHER
Rfam family: tRNA
About the family: Transfer RNA (tRNA) molecules are approximately 80 nucleotides in length. Their secondary structure includes four short double-helical elements and three loops (D, anti-codon, and T loops).
Source: RNAcentral
UAUAGGGUAGCUUAAUUGGUAAAGCUUGUAUUGUAAUAACGGGGUAAUAAUACUAAUUCCAGCCGUUGUUGUGGGUUCGAAUCCCACCCCUAUAU